This 501-nucleotide ribosomal RNA is filed under the name uncultured bacterium. RNAcentral describes it as "partial 16S ribosomal RNA". It matches the Rfam family "Bacterial small subunit ribosomal RNA", at positions 29 to 523 of the family's 1533-position model. The record is from RNAcentral.
AUUGAACGCUGGCGGCAUGCCUUACACAUGCAAGUCGAACGGCAGCACGGGUGCUUGCACCUGGUGGCGAGUGGCGAACGGGUGAGUAAUACAUCGGAACGUACCUUAUCGUGGGGGAUAACGCAGCGAAAGCUGUGCUAAUACCGCAUACGCCCUGAGGGGGAAAGCGGGGGAUCGCAAGACCUCGCGCGAUUAGAGCGGCCGAUGCCUGAUUAGCUAGUUGGUGGGGUAAAAGCCCACCAAGGCGACGAUCAGUAGCUGGUCUGAGAGGACGAUCGGCGAGCCUGGGACUGGGACAGGGCCAAGACUCCUACGGGGGGCAGCAGUGGGGAAUUUGGGAGAAUGGGGGCAACCCUGAUCCAGCAAUGCCGCGGGAGUGAAGAAGGCCUUCGGGUUGUAAAGCUCUUUUGUCAGGGAAGAAACACCGGCUCUAACACAGUGUGGGAAUGACGGUACCUGAAGAAUAAGCACCGGCUAACUACGUGCCAGCAGCCGCCGUAA